This is a long non-coding RNA of Thalassophryne amazonica, 742 nucleotides long. RefSeq lists it as uncharacterized. The transcript has 2 exons. NCBI's taxonomy places the organism in Eukaryota, Metazoa, Chordata, Actinopteri, Batrachoidiformes, Batrachoididae. The record is from RefSeq and is a predicted model, not a curated record.
UGACAACAGGUGGAACACAAUGGGGUCACAAUCAGGAGUGUAAUUUAUAAUACAACACUGUACUAGCCAGGCAAAAUGAGUUUUAACAGAUUAGUAUUAAACAUAUUCAUAUGACUUUUUCAGGUUAAAAUCAGUUUUGUAUAAAGUAAUAGGUUUUAGUAUUAAUGUGGCCAUACAUUACACAACGAUAUGAUACCAAUCUGUGUUGUACCGAAAUCAUUGAGAAAUGCAAAACAUAUUGCACUAUGUCUCAACGGUGUUACAUACAUGUUAUUACAGGCAGAGCGGCACACAGGUGUGCAGGCAGACAAAGGCACAGAUUACACUUAUCCACUCGAUGACAAUGAUGUAAUGACAUGCCAGGGAUUUUUGUGAGGUAGAGAUGGAUGUUCUGUUGUUGAAACCCUGAACAGGAACAGCCAAAAGAAGCAAAGAAAGCUGUGCAUCUUCAAAGGACCCAACUUCCGAGGUGCACACAUGAAGGUGUCCAGGACACACCCAUGGACCUUCAGAGUGGCAACAAAGAGCAAAAAUUGUGCGUAAAUUAUUAAAUAAUUUUUGCAAAGGCCAAGACCUUGAUUCUGAGAAAAAGAAGGCCUGGGGUGUCAGCCGGCAUGCACGUGUCUCUGAACAAAGAAAGUGUAUUCUGUGGUCAAUAACUAUAUUUCCAUGUUUGCCAUUAUCCACAUAAACAUACAAUAAAAAUGUCUCUCACUCAGUCACAUUUUAUAUAUCAUUUUGC